Molecule: non-coding RNA, 171 nt
Filed under: Merdimonas faecis
Lineage: Bacteria; Bacillati; Bacillota; Clostridia; Lachnospirales; Lachnospiraceae
Source: RNAcentral
UGGUAACAGCAAUAUGAAUGAACAAGGGAACCAGGUGAGAAUCCUGGACGGUACCGCCGCUGUAUGCGUGGAGUCUGUGAUCCGUCGGUGAAAACCGGCCAUUGGGAAACUGAGAAGGCAGGAUACAGGCGAAGGAAAACUUCCGAAAGCGCGAGUCAGAAGACCUACAAA